RNAcentral lists this ribosomal RNA (661 nucleotides) under uncultured Bacilli bacterium. RNAcentral describes it as "bacterial SSU rRNA". It matches the Rfam family "Bacterial small subunit ribosomal RNA", at positions 62 to 705 of the family's 1533-position model. Lineage: Bacteria; Bacillati; Bacillota; Bacilli. The record is from RNAcentral.
CACAGUUUAUACCGUAGCUUGCUACACCAUAGACUGUGAGUUGCGAACGGGUGAGUAACGCGUAGGUAACCUGCCUAUUAGAGGGGGAUAACUAUUGGAAACGAUAGCUAAUACCGCAUAACAGUAUGUAACACAUGUUAGAUGCUUGAAAGAUGCAAUUGCAUCGCUAGUAGAUGGACCUGCGUUGUAUUAGCUAGUAGGUAGGGUAAUGGCCUACCUAGGCGACGAUACAUAGCCGACCUGAGAGGGUGAUCGGCCACACUGGGACUGAGACACGGCCCAGACUCCUACGGGAGGCAGCAGUAGGGAAUCUUCGGCAAUGGGGGGAACCCUGACCGAGCAACGCCGCGUGAGUGAAGAAGGUUUUCGGAUCGUAAAGCUCUGUUGUUAAGGAAGAACGAGUGUGAGAAUGGAAAGUUCAUACUGUGACGGUACUUAACCAGAAAGGGACGGCUAACUACGUGCCAGCAGCCGCGGUAAUACGUAGGUCCCGAGCGUUGUCCGGAUUUAUUGGGCGUAAAGCGAGCGCAGGCGGUUAGAAAAGUCUGAAGUGAAAGGCAGUGGCUCAACCAUUGUAGGCUUUGGAAACUGUUUAACUUGAGUGCAGAAGGGGAGAGUGGAAUUCCAUGUGUAGCGGUGAAAUGCGUAGAUAUAUGGAGGA